AUGGAAAUCUCUGUAAUUUUU
RNAcentral lists this transfer RNA (21 nucleotides) under Leucochloron incuriale. RNAcentral's name for it is "partial tRNA-His". Lineage: Eukaryota; Viridiplantae; Streptophyta; Magnoliopsida; Fabales; Fabaceae. The record is from RNAcentral.